GUGGCCAUUUCAGCCACUGCUGCUGCCUUCUCUGUUCCUAACUUGAUAGUUGGCUGCGUGACACUGGAAGAUACUCGAGGAAAAGUGACAUCAGGUGUCACAGAGUUUAUUCAGGAUGGCCAGGUUUGUCACACUGAGUGAAAGUAAAGUUGGAGGAAAAAGAAAUCACCUUUGUACAGGAGAACUUGAGAGUGCCUAUGCCAAAAACAGGGGGACCUGGCGUUAAAGACACCCAGUGCACUGGAGCUAAAAAGCCAAGCCUCAGAACCAAGCAAAUGGAAUUUCUCUCUAUGAGCAGUAAGCUGUCUUGGUCAAAAUACUUCCACUGAGCUGGCAAGCAUCAGGGGAGGCCCUGAGAUGCAGCAGGAAGCAGAUGGACCUGGUGGCUCUUUGGCUCCUUUAUGACGCUCCCUUACCGCUGAGGAGGUGGGGAAUAAACAUAAAGAAUCUCUGGGCCUCAUCACACUGCUGAAGGGGUUCCUGGCAUAGAAGUUAUGGCUCACAAUGAUGAAUUAUAAAGAACUGGAGCAGAGCAACUGGCAGCCUCCAAAUACAAAGGAAAGGAAAUACAGCGACCACAGCAGUCGUCCCUGCUUGUGUGUCCCCUGGAAACCUGGGAAAAGCAGGAGGAGGAGAGGGGCUUCAGUACACAGCUACCAAGAGCCUGCUUCCCAGGAAAUGGAGAACUUGUGCUCUGUGAGUAAACCAUCUAAACCCCACCAUGAACAGGAUCAGAGGGCCAGCUCCAGAAGUCACUGCCGCAUGGGAUGGUCUGUAGCAUUGAUCCAUGUGGGCUGGGCUCAUCCUUGCAGCCAUCUCUUUCACCAUUCUUUUUUUUAAAGACAUAUUUAUUUAUUUGAAAGGCAGAGAUACAGAGAGGCAGAGUGAUAGAG
Molecule: long non-coding RNA, 893 nt
Organism: Lepus europaeus (European hare)
Lineage: Eukaryota; Metazoa; Chordata; Mammalia; Lagomorpha; Leporidae
Exons: 4
Source: RefSeq, a predicted model, not a curated record